GCGGGAGUGGUGGAAUUGGCAGACACGCAGGAUUUAGGUUCCUGUGCCCUAGUGGCGUGGGGGUUCAAGUCCCCUCUCCCGCACCG
RNAcentral lists this transfer RNA (86 nucleotides) under Agrococcus carbonis. RNAcentral describes it as "tRNA_Leu_TAG". It matches the Rfam family "tRNA". Rfam says of the family: Transfer RNA (tRNA) molecules are approximately 80 nucleotides in length. Lineage: Bacteria; Bacillati; Actinomycetota; Actinomycetes; Micrococcales; Microbacteriaceae. The record is from RNAcentral.